This 494-nucleotide ribosomal RNA is filed under the name uncultured bacterium. RNAcentral's name for it is "partial 16S ribosomal RNA". It matches the Rfam family "Bacterial small subunit ribosomal RNA", at positions 28 to 507 of the family's 1533-position model. The record is from RNAcentral.
GACGAACGCUGGCGGCGUGCUUAACACAUGCAAGUCGAACGGAAAGGCCUGCGUUCGCUUUUGCGUUCCGGUUACUCGCGUGGCGAACGGGCGAGUAACACGUGAGUGAUCUGGGCGGAACUUGGGUAGAAGCCUGGGAAACUGGGUCUAAUUCCCAAUAGGACUGCAGGGUGGUGCCGGUGGUGGAAAACGAGUUUCUAGUGGGUGGGGAUGAGCUCGCGGCCUAUCAGCUGGUUGGUGGGGUAAUGGCCUACCAAGGCGGCGACGGGUAGCCGGCCUGAGAGUCUGGACGGCCACAUUGAGACUGAGAUGCGACCCAGAGUCCUACGCACGGCAGAGGCGCGGACUAGUGGACGAUGGGCGGAAGACUGAUGCAGCGACGCCGCGUGGAGGAUGCCGGGCUUCGGGUUGUAAACACCUUUCGACAGCGAGGACGCCACCUGGUUGGAAAGAUAGUGACGGUAGUGGUAGAAGAAGCAACGGCUAACUACGUG